UGAGGAAUAUUGGUCAAUGGGCGAGAGCCUGAACCAGCCAAGUCGCGUGAGGGAAGACGGUCCUAUGGAUUGUAAACCUCUUUUGCCGGGGAGCAAAGAGCGGCACGUGUGCCGCGCCGAGAGUACCCGGAGAAAAAGCAUCGGCUAACUCCAUGCC
RNAcentral lists this ribosomal RNA (157 nucleotides) under uncultured bacterium. RNAcentral describes it as "partial 16S ribosomal RNA". It matches the Rfam family "Bacterial small subunit ribosomal RNA", at positions 355 to 509 of the family's 1533-position model. The record is from RNAcentral.